ACUGAAUAUGGUAUUUGCUUUUAUUAUAGACCUGACUACUCUUGGCUUUAAAAUCAUUAGCUUAUGUGACUAUAUUGAAAUUGACAUUCUUAAAUAUU
This is a long non-coding RNA of Drosophila navojoa, 98 nucleotides long. Lineage: Eukaryota; Metazoa; Arthropoda; Insecta; Diptera; Drosophilidae. The record is from RefSeq and is a predicted model, not a curated record.